This 224-nucleotide ribosomal RNA is filed under the name uncultured bacterium. RNAcentral describes it as "partial 16S ribosomal RNA". It matches the Rfam family "Bacterial small subunit ribosomal RNA", at positions 15 to 228 of the family's 1533-position model. The record is from RNAcentral.
GAUCCUGGCUCAGGACGAACGCUGGCGGCGUGCCUAAUACAUGCAAGUAGAACGCUGAAGAGAGGAGCUUGCUCUUCUUGGAUGAGUUUGCGAACGGGUGAGUAACGCGUAGGUAACCUGCCUGGUAGCGGGGGAUAACUAUUGGAAACGAUAGCUAAUACCGCAUAAAAUGGAUUAUCGCAUGAUAAUCGAUUGAAAGGUGCAAAUGCAUCACUACCAGAUGG